This is a non-coding RNA of Piedraia hortae CBS 480.64, 82 nucleotides long. NCBI's taxonomy places the organism in Eukaryota, Fungi, Ascomycota, Dothideomycetes, Capnodiales, Piedraiaceae. The record is from the annotation of a GenBank genome assembly.
GGCACCGUGGCCUAAUGGUAAGGCGUUGCUUUCCGGUAACAGGAACUGGCAAAGAUCGUGGGUUCGAGUCCCAUCGGUGUCG